CUUGGCCUUGACUCACUAGAUUCUGUUCUUACCUUGACUACCACUACUCUAAUCUCACUACUCCUAGACUAAUCCACUCCUAAUUAAGGGUAUUCCACUCAUAAACUAUAGGCUCGGCUCUGCCAACUAGAACUCUCCUCUGGCUCCGGCAAGCGACUACUAACUUCUGGCUGGCUACAAAUACAGUUAUGGCUCUUGACUACUAUACUUCUUGCUCUUCUCUGCUAACUUCAUUAGGCUAGGCUCCUCUAACUCAAUGUCUUUGUGACCUUCAUUAGGCUAAUAUACCUCUGUUAACUAACAAAUACUGAUUAAGCGGGACUACUACUUAAAGGGGAUUCCACUCUAACUCUACUUUUACACUAAUUCUUCUUUCUGACCUCUACUCCCGAGCCUUACUAUUAAGCUUCCAACUGGGGAUGAAACUAAAAGCUACUGAUGAAACUUUACCACUACUAAAAGGGGCAAGAACUAGACUUUCAUAACUCACACGUGACUUCCACUUAUGCUCUGUGAACUCAGGCUAAUAUACCUGUACUCUGGCUAUACAGAUGAAGCUGCUUCCCUUGCCAUGGGUGAUACUACGAGUUUGCAGUCCAAAACUCUUUUCUCCUUCUCCGGCUUCACUUCUUAUUCAAUAUGAUCUUGAACUGGGCGAACAGAAAGAGACUCUAAGCCAACAAACACGGGUCAAACAGAAACACGAAAAGAUCUUAGCGCAGAAGCUCACUUAUAACUUGCGCGUGAGGCUAACAAAAGUACUUUAUUUCUUCCCUUAUUUACUUAUUGAUUGCUCUUGCUUUAAGAGUCUGAUCCUUUCCUGGCACUGCUUCUA
This 835-nucleotide long non-coding RNA is filed under the name Musa acuminata (dwarf banana). RNAcentral describes it as "long non-coding RNA (MACU_LNC007808)". The record is from RNAcentral. Lineage: Eukaryota; Viridiplantae; Streptophyta; Magnoliopsida; Zingiberales; Musaceae.